AUUAGUAGACCAAAAUGUUAAAAGAGUCAUUAUAAAUAGUAGACUUAGUGUAAUAGUUGGAAUGAUGUUGUUAAAAAGGAUAAAAUAAUCCUAUCCCCUCUUCCACUGGGGACUUUGUUCCUAAAAACUAUUUCCUUAAAACUGUCUCUCUUGGAUCAAUUUCAUAGAGGGGGUUGGUCGCUAACUAGAGCAGAAAUACUUCUUCCUCUUUAAAAGUAAGAAAAAAGGCAGAUGUGAGAAAAAAAACUCAGUUCAGUUGUUAGAAUUGACAGUGGGAGAAUGAGGUAAUUUUUUCUAUGAUUCUAUUUUCUCUGUGAAGUAUGAGGUGAGGUCAUCACCUCAGAGGGGGGUGGGACCUUAAGACAGAUGAAGGUAUGUGUGGGAAAGCUGACUUACUAGAGAAAUGUGGUGUGAUUGAUGGGUGAGCUGAGGGCUCAAUAUUUGUGAUCAUUUAAAGUGAGACCUGUCAGCUCACUUCAGCAGUUGAAUGCAAGCAUUAAAAUUGAGUUCAAGCACCAAGUAGGUAUAUGAUAGGGGUUUUGGGGCGUUAAUGUUUGCCCAACAAGUACAAAGGAAGAAGAGAGGGAUGAGAAGAUUAGUGAGGUAGAUUGUCAUGAUAGACCAUGGAAUCUAAACUGGGUGAGCAGGGAAAGGAGAUAUCAAGAAGCUGAUGAAUAGUGGAGAAGUGGUAGGAGUCAUUGGCAUAAAAGGUUUUGUGGGAGGCAACUGCUGGAAUAGGUGGAACUAAAUCAUGAGGGUGGUGGUUAAAAAGUGAGACGCUUGAUUUUGGAUGUCAGAGGUGGCACAGUUACUAGUGAAGGCAAGAGCUAGAAUAUAAUCACAGGAAUGGUGGCUAAGGUGGAACACAGAAAAAGAUCAAUGUGGGUGAGAAGGUCAUGAUGGCAGAAGUGUAGUUAGUAGUAGUUGAGAACAAGACUGGAAGCUCUGUGACUCGACCAAGAGAGUGUGUAUGACAGCUUUGGGGAGAAUGAUGUUCUGAAUUUCUGAGGGGGUUAUGAUUUUUGAAAGGAGAACAAAGAAAUGGUAUGGGAUUGGUGGUGGAAAGCAAGGAGAAUGAAUACUUAACCCACCUCUAAGUAAGUUGGACAUGGGAAAAUAAAUAGCUUCUUCUUAAAAGGGCUAUAGGGAGCACUAUUUCAGGAAGACACCGCCAGGCUUCAGUCAGGGCAAGAAGUUGAGGGAACAAUGAAAGAAAUUUGAGACUUUUAUGAAGAGGAUAUCUCUAUUCUAGAUAACUGAGUGGAAGAGUUUGGGAAAGCAAGGAAGUGUGGAAGAUUGGAUCACAUUAGGUGAUGGUGAGGUCAGAGUGAUGAUAAGAGCCAGGGAAAUGCUAUUAAGUUUUGGACUCUGUUGGCAAAGAGGUUUAUCCAGCCAACUUCAGAUGCACAAACGGUUCAGGAUACCUUCCUAGUAGAUAUCUGAUCUAUAUGAGCCAUUCCUGCAGCUACAUAUGGUGUGAUAGCCUGAAGAAUGUGCAUCCCCACUAGGUAGAAACUGGCUGCUUGAGGAACUCCAAGGAAUAUCUAUCACUCCUGCUGCAGUUAUAUACAGGCAUACCUCAAAGAUACUGUGGGUUCAGUUCCAGGUCUUGCAUAACGUGAAUACUGGAACAAGGCAAAUCAAAUGAAUUUUUUGGUUUCCCAGUGCAUUUAAAGUUAGGUUUACACUAUACUGGAGUCUAUUAAGUGUGUAAUAAGAUGUCAAAAAAAAAAGUACAUACCUUAAUUAAAAAAUACCUUAUUGCUAAAAAACGUUAACUAUCAUUUGAGCUUUCAUUGAGUCAUAAUCAUUGAUCACAGAUCACCAUAACAGAUAUAAUAAUGAAAAAAUUUUUGAAAUAUUGUGAGAAUUACCAAACUGUGACACAAAGAUAGUAGUAAGCACAUGCAGUUGAAAAAAUGAGGCCUAUACACUUGGCUCUGUGCAGAGUUGCCACAAACCUUCAAUUUAUAAAAAACACACUACCUGUGAAGUUCAAUAAAAUGAGGUAUGCCUGUAAAUAUCUUUACAAUAAAGGAUUUGGGUACAGUAUGCUUGUUUCAGGAUCCAGCAAGUGGAUAUUUGAGGUUGUUAUUGAGUAUCUGAGAACUCUCCUUUCUCUGCGUGGUUCUCCACCGGGACUAUACUAUUCUCUCAUCUUCAGGAUAUCCUGGAAGAUUGUGGAAAUGCUUUUGAGUGUCACAAUUUUGGGGAGAUGGUCUUGGGGUCAGGAACAGUAUGAGUUCCAUCAUGCAAAGAGUAGUCCUGCAACACAAAGAAUUGCCCAUGGGACUUUUGACUAUCCCACAGAACAUCCUAGUAGGUGAAAUUUCCACUUGUAAAUUUUCUGAGUCUAGGACCUAAAUGUAAAGUGUUUUUGUACAGUUUUUAUAUAUACUAACAUUUCUAGGAUUGCUACUAGUAUAUAAAAUAAGGGAAUAUUAUACUGUGUUUUGUUUAGAACUUUUGUAGUGAGUUGUUACCAUUUUGGAAAUAACUUCAUCAACAUCAUUUGUAGUAUUUGAAUCAACAGACCUAAAGCAUAAACUCUGUUUUUUUUUUUAACUGUCACAUUCACAGUGAUUCUUUGUAGACAUGUAGCAUCUGUGAUUGCUUCAUUUUGUCUUCCUAGGUACAUACCCCAAGAAUUUACAUGUUGAAACACAUAUUUGAUUGUAAAUUACUUUCCUUUUAUUUCUACUUUGUUUUGCAGUAGGUUCUUGGAUUGAAUAUUUGAAAAAUGUGGAAAGCAGAAUAGUGAAGGAAUUUGAAAAGAGGGAGCAUUGGAUCUGAUAGGAUUGAAAAUAGCUACUCUACUGGGCUCAAAACAUGAGCAGUGGAGUUAGGUUUUAUUUCAAGUUCUGGUUGUCCUACUUAACCCCAAGUCUGGUAUAAUUGAGAUCUUGUGUAAAGUUUUUAGCAUGGUGCCUUAUUAUGCAGUAACUGCACAGAUCUUUUUAGUUUAUUGUUUUAGUUUCAUUUUUAAUCCUUGAAGGAUAGAAAUGUGUUUUUUAGGUUGGUUUUAAAAUUUUCAGCAAAUUUCCAUUAUAUAACAAGUGAUUUUUGUUAUAGAGUGUUUUGAUAGUACUAAUUUUGAUACACAUAUAGUUGUAUUCAUGAUAGAAUGUGAGAUAGUAAGCAAGGUGUCAAAGAACAUGGCCUUAAGUAGACAAGUAUAUCGACCAAAUGGAUUGUUUUCUCUCCUUAAAUACAGGCUUGGUUUCCCAGUGGAUGCUAAGAUGUAUACAAUAUGUUUUGAAGAAUUCAUCAGCUGAAAAAAAAAAGGGUCACUCAACAAACUCCGGUUUGCUGUCAACUUUUAUGAAGCCUUUAUUGACAUACCUUCCCAAGCCCUGUCAUAUAUAACCUGAACUUGUAGAAAAUAAACUCGUUUAUGUGAUUAUUUCCUAGUAUCUAAAAGCCCUUUGAAAGCAGAAAUAGUGUUAUAUCUUAACCACUUAAUAUUGUUCUGGCAUCAAUGUUUCUUUAAUUAAUGAUUAAAUAAUUCUGAGAAAAUCUAGGUACUUCAUGAUUUUUUUGUUAUCUAAAAUGGUAAUCAGAUACCUGUUUUAAAUGCCUGUGAGCUUUUGGAGUGAAACUAAUAAAGUUGGAUUUAAGCUAUAA
This is a long non-coding RNA of Felis catus (domestic cat), 3624 nucleotides long. RefSeq lists it as uncharacterized. The record is from RefSeq and is a predicted model, not a curated record. Lineage: Eukaryota; Metazoa; Chordata; Mammalia; Carnivora; Felidae. The transcript has 2 exons.